GGAAGAUGAAUUUUGGUCUGACAUUGAAGAAAUUUGAGAGAGAGAGAGAGAAAAUAAGAAAGAGUGUACCAUGAGCGAGGUAAAUAUCGGAAUUACUUGUUAGUCCUUGUUUGGAUGAUUAAGGGCUUUUGACUAUUGAUUGAAGUCUACGGCCCAAAAGAAAACGAUCCAGCCUUAGUCUAAAAAUAACCUAUCCCGUGGCGAUAGAGAAA
RNAcentral lists this unclassified non-coding RNA (212 nucleotides) under Hevea brasiliensis (rubber tree). The record is from RNAcentral. Lineage: Eukaryota; Viridiplantae; Streptophyta; Magnoliopsida; Malpighiales; Euphorbiaceae.